RNAcentral lists this ribosomal RNA (468 nucleotides) under uncultured bacterium. RNAcentral's name for it is "partial 16S ribosomal RNA". It matches the Rfam family "Bacterial small subunit ribosomal RNA", at positions 28 to 507 of the family's 1533-position model. The record is from RNAcentral.
GACGAACGCUGGCGGCGUGCUUAACACAUGCAAGUCGAACGGAAAGGCCCUGCUUUUGUUGGGUGCUCGAGUGGCGAACGGGUGAGUAACACGUGAGUAACCUUCCCUUUACUUUGGGAUAACUUCAGGAAACUGGGGCUAAUACCGGAUAGGAGCUCCUGCUGCAUGGUGGGGGUUGGAAAGUUUCGGCGGUUGGGGAUGGACUCGCGGCUUAUCAGCUUGUUGGUGGGGUAGUGGCUUACCAAGGCUUUGACGGGUAGCCGGCCUGAGAGGGUGACCGGCCACAUUGGGACUGAGAUACGGCCCAGACUCCUACGGGAGGCAGCAGUGGGGAAUAUUGCACAAUGGGCGGAAGCCUGAUGCAGCAACGCCGCGUGCGGGAUGACGGCCUUCGGGUUGUAAACCGCUUUCGCCUGUGACGAAGCGUGAGUGACGGUAAUGGGUAAAGAAGCACCGGCUAACUACGUG